AACGAACGCUGGCGGCAGGCCUAAUACAUGCAAGUCGAACGCCUGUAGCAAUACAGGAGUGGCAGACGGGUGAGUAACACGUGGGAACGUGCCCUUUGGUACGGAACAACUCCGGGAAACUGGAGCUAAUACCGUAUGUGCCCUUCGGGGGAAAGAUUUAUCGCCAAAGGAUCGGCCCGCGUCUGAUUAGCUAGUUGGCGGGGUAAUGGCCCACCAAGGCGACGAUCAGUAGCUGGUCUGAGAGGAUGACCAGCCACACUGGGACUGAGACACGGCCCAGACUCCUACGGGAGGCAGCAGUAGGGAAUAUUGGACAAUGGGCAAGCCUGAUCCAGCCAUGCCGCGUGAGUGAUGAAGGCCUUAGGGUUGUAAAG
This 374-nucleotide ribosomal RNA is filed under the name uncultured bacterium. RNAcentral describes it as "bacterial SSU rRNA". It matches the Rfam family "Bacterial small subunit ribosomal RNA", at positions 29 to 430 of the family's 1533-position model. The record is from RNAcentral.